RNAcentral lists this non-coding RNA (24 nucleotides) under Arabidopsis thaliana (thale cress). Lineage: Eukaryota; Viridiplantae; Streptophyta; Magnoliopsida; Brassicales; Brassicaceae. The record is from RNAcentral.
CAUUGUAGGCACCGCUUUGAUUGG